AUACGUAGGUGGCGAGCGUUAUCCGGAUUUACUGGGCGUAAAGGGUGCGUAGGCGGAUAUUUAAGUCAGAUGUGAAAUUCCCGGGCUCAACCUGGGAAGUGCAUUUGAAACUGGGUAUCUAGAGUGCAGGAGAGGGAAGCGGAAUUCCUAGUGUAGCGGUGAAAUGCGUAGAUAUUAGGAAGAACACCAGUGGCGAAGGCGGCUUCCUGGACUGUAACUGACGCUGAGGCACGAAAGCGUGGGGAGC
Molecule: ribosomal RNA, 247 nt
Filed under: uncultured bacterium
Lineage: Bacteria
Description: partial 16S ribosomal RNA
Rfam family: Bacterial small subunit ribosomal RNA
Source: RNAcentral